UGCCAGGGCCAGUCGCGUUUCCACUGUCACUUCCGGGAGUAACCCCAGAGUGCAGUCUGGACGAUGGGGCGGGGCGACACUUCGAGGCGGAGCGACACGUGUCGCCCCGCCCAUAUUUGUUUUCCCCGCCUUUGACAUUUUGCUCCGAGCCAGCAGGGGGCAGUUUGCGUUGAAACAAACAGAACGGUGGCAACUACAGCAGCAGAGUAAUAACGCUAUUCCGUUGAUUGCUUGAGGAUGACAUGAUCAGGAGGUGGUGGUGUUCUGUUCUCCUGGACAGCUUUACUCCGCAAAUAGCUCAACCACUGAGGGGAAGAACUUCACCAUUCACCAUGUCUUCAGGCAGAGUCCAGCAAAGCAGGUUAUUUGUGCACAUACAUACAUUAAGAACUAAUAAUUACAUAUGUGUGUACAUGCAGAGGUAUUUUAGUUGUUCAGAUGUGAAAUUGGUAUUAUGUACAAGUACUAUAUUGGUCAGCACUGUGGAUUAGCACUGUGGAUUAUUUAAUAUAUAGCUAUCAGUUAACAUCAGCAUCAAAGACAUUUAAAAACAUUUCAGCUUAAUUCAUUUUCAGUGAGUUUUUUAAAUAACUUCUGUUUGCGAUCUAAUGUGGAUUUUGUUCACCAUAUAAGACAGAAAUAUUUAUAUUCAAUGUAAAAGAUCUUCAUGUGGAUCACGCAUACAAAUAUAUACAAAUAUCUCACUGGAUUAUUACAAUUAAUGGCAAAAUGAAUGUGUGGAAAUGUAAACUAAUAUAUCCUACUGACACACAACAGCAAAAUAUAUAAAUAAUUGUCUUUUUUUUUCAAUGUGAAAAUACUAACAUGCCUAAUACUUCUGCACAGUACUGUAUAUAUUAACAUUUUAUUAGUGUUAUUAUAAAAGAAUGAGUAUGCAGUUGUGACAACAAUCUAUAGAGUUUUUAAUGAGAGUUUUAAAGCAAGGUUGUCUGUAUUCAGGGUUUAUAUAAUGUUUAAUAACUUUUAUAUACAUGUAUAAAUAAACCUAUGUAUGUUUUUGAUUCAACAGCUUCCACUGGAAAUCCUCAGUGAAGGUAUUUUGUUGGCGGGUGACUCUGCAUAUUUGACACUUUCUCUGGUUUGCAGAUGGUUUAGGGAUGUGCGCCGAAGUUUUUCGGAAAGCGGCACAGUUUGCCUGGCUAGACAGUAAGAUUUCCCCGUUUAAU
This is a long non-coding RNA of Carassius gibelio (silver crucian carp), 1187 nucleotides long. RefSeq lists it as uncharacterized. The transcript has 3 exons. Lineage: Eukaryota; Metazoa; Chordata; Actinopteri; Cypriniformes; Cyprinidae. The record is from RefSeq and is a predicted model, not a curated record.